Vicia faba (fava bean) is the source of this 309-nucleotide non-coding RNA. NCBI's taxonomy places the organism in Eukaryota, Viridiplantae, Streptophyta, Magnoliopsida, Fabales, Fabaceae. The record is from the annotation of a GenBank genome assembly.
UUCAUAUCUCUCUCUUUUCUAUGUAUCAGCCCACCCUUUCAUAUUGUUUUUCUUUUUUUAAACAAAACAAAAAUUCAUAACAAAAGAAGAACAAAAACAAAACCCAGUGGUAGAGAAGAACAACAGGAGACAAAAAUGAAGUUUCACGGUGGUGCGUUGGUGAUGGUACGGCGGUGCCACCGUGAAACCUACGGUUUUCAAUUUUUUUUAAUGUUUUCGUGUAUAGUUUUGCCUUCUGGUUUCAAAUUUGAGAGUAAUUUAAAAAAAAAAAAACAAUCGAUCAGAGUAAAUCUACAAACAAAGUUUUAA